AUUGAACGCUGGCGGCAUGCCUUACACAUGCAAGUCGAACGGUAACAGGUCUUCGGAUGCUGACGAGUGGCGAACGGGGGAGUAAUACAUCGGAACGUGCCCGAUCGUGGGGGAUAACGGAGCGAAAGCUUUGCUAAUACCGCAUACGAUCUACGGAUGAAAGCAGGGGACCGCAAGGCCUUGCGCGGACGGAGCGGCCGAUGGCAGAUUAGGUAGUUGGUGGGAUAAAAGCUUACCAAGCCGACGAUCUGUAGCUGGUCUGAGAGGACGACCAGCCACACUGGGACUGAGACACGGCCCAGACUCCUACGGGAGGCAGCAGUGGGGAAUUUUGGACAAUGGGCGAAAGCCUGAUCCAGCCAUGCCGCGUGCAGGAUGAAGGCCUUCGGGUUGUAAACUGCUUUUGUACGGAACGAAAAGACUCUUUCUAAUAAAGAGGGUCCAUGACGGUACCGUAAGAAUAAGCACCGGCUAACUACGUG
This 482-nucleotide ribosomal RNA is filed under the name uncultured bacterium. RNAcentral describes it as "partial 16S ribosomal RNA". It matches the Rfam family "Bacterial small subunit ribosomal RNA", at positions 30 to 507 of the family's 1533-position model. The record is from RNAcentral.